GUUGAGCGCUGGCGGCGUGCCUAAUACAUGCAAGUCGAGCGAACAGACGAGGAGCUUGCUCCUCUGACGUUAGCGGCGGACGGGUGAGUAACACGUGGAUAACCUACCUAUAAGACUGGGAUAACUUCGGGAAACCGGAGCUAAUACCGGAUAAUAUAUUGAACCGCAUGGUUCAAUAGUGAAAGACGGUUUUGCUGUCACUUAUAGAUGGAUCCGCGCCGCAUUAGCUAGUUGGUAAGGUAACGGCUUACCAAGGCGACGAUGCGUAGCCGACCUGAGAGGGUGAUCGGCCACACUGGAACUGAGACACGGUCCAGACUCCUACGGGAGGCAGCAGUAGGGAAUCUUCCGCAAUGGGCGAAAGCCUGACGGAGCAACGCCGCGUGAGUGAUGAAGGUCUUCGGAUCGUAAAACUCUGUUAUUAGGGAAGAACAAAUGUGUAAGUAACUAUGCACGUCUUGACGGUACCUAAUCAGAAAGCCACGGCUAACUACGUG
RNAcentral lists this ribosomal RNA (497 nucleotides) under uncultured bacterium. RNAcentral's name for it is "partial 16S ribosomal RNA". It matches the Rfam family "Bacterial small subunit ribosomal RNA", at positions 28 to 507 of the family's 1533-position model. The record is from RNAcentral.